AGAUAAGGAUUACCAAAGCUCCCUUACCCGCAGCCAUGGCUACGCCAACGGCGGACCGCACUCUCUGGUACUGACGCCACACGUACGGAUCAGAUCACGGAAGAAGGACCUGUGUAACGCACAAGCGUACAAAGUAUACGAACUAUAUGCCAACUGGAUCUGAACCAGCUCCGGGACUCGUAGCUGAAAGCAUGGCAAGCCAAGGUGCCGCGAAGGCAAUUACGAACUUCAGGUGAUUGGCCAUCUGAUGUACUGCUGGUGCGGUUCGGCAUGCUAAACUCGAAAUGUUUAUUUAAAGUCUACCGAAAACCAGUCUCGCCUACAUCGACAGUGACUACAUGUCCUGUCAUUGUCUUCUACACAGUUUUUCGCUCAGCGUGUCAGCCCGAUAGCUCACUGGCUGUUCAACUAAUACCGGUCGCAGUUCCUGCAUUAAACGGAAGUAACCGAUAAAGCACGAGACGCUUUGGCUCAAAAACGUAAGCGCUAGCACCAUCUGUGCAGGUUGGCUUAUUUGUUAGAAUAAGUUCUUCAGUUGUAGCCGAUAUUAUCCAGAGUAACGAUCUCAUCGUCGGAUCAGCAAUGAUUUAAUAUGUUUAAACCGGAUUCAUUUUAAAGGUAUCUUAGAUACCGUCAAGGCCAUAAGCAGGCAUUAAAAAAAGUUUGAAUCUAAUCGCUACUGUUUUGCUUUUUACUGUUUUGUGUGGGCCUAAUGCCCGUGCUAAAUAACAGUAAAAAAAAUAUUACUACAUGUGACGCUUAAAAAAUUAACCACUGCUUGAAAAUUGAUCAGCGUAUUUAGGAGUUUUGCAUUCUUUUUGUACUAAUCGAGUGUCUAUUACCCAAUUUUUGACCACUGCAAGCAAACAGCAAAUCCUAGGUGUUGAAGCAAAAAAAAAAAAAAGCUUCUAAAAUGGUGUUCAAAUAUUGAAGAAACACUGUAGAUUCAUUCCUUCAAAAAGCCGACAAAGCCAAUCUCCAUGGAACCCCCUACAUAAUACAAUGCCAUAACAACUCAUCAGCAAUAAAGGCGAAGAAAAACUAUCCUGCAGCUGUCAAUUGUCUCCCAAUCAAUUGUCUAUUAGCGGCGAACGGGUGGAACAUGGAAAGUCCUUACCUACAUCACACUAUAAAAGCGAUGAGUUCUAAAACAAGCGAAUUGAGUAGGUUUAAUCAGAAAACGGAAAGGCAAUUUUA
Molecule: long non-coding RNA, 1197 nt
Organism: Varroa destructor (honeybee mite)
Lineage: Eukaryota; Metazoa; Arthropoda; Arachnida; Mesostigmata; Varroidae
Source: RefSeq, a predicted model, not a curated record